UACGUAGGUGACAAGCGUUGUCCGGAUUUACUGGGCGUAAAGAGCGCGCAGGCGGUCGUUCAAGUCGAGUGUGAAAGCCCCCGGCUCAACUGGGGAGGGUCAUUCGAUACUGAUCGACUCGAAGGCAGGAGAGGGUAGUGGAAUUCCCGGUGUAGUGGUGAAAUGCGUAGAUAUCGGGGAGGAACACCAGUGGCGAAGGGCGACUACCUGGCCUGUUCUUGACGCUGAGGCGCGAAAGCGUGGGGAGCGAACAGG
RNAcentral lists this ribosomal RNA (255 nucleotides) under uncultured bacterium. Its description in RNAcentral is "partial 16S ribosomal RNA". It matches the Rfam family "Bacterial small subunit ribosomal RNA", at positions 524 to 776 of the family's 1533-position model. The record is from RNAcentral.